UGGGAUUAGACAUGGSSCAGCUKAYUAGCMAUGCGCUGARUGWUGARGGCCYAGGUYGUAAAGCUCUUCAACUGUGAARAUAUGACUGUAGCAKUAGAGAACCCGGCUAAUCCGUGCCAGCAGSCGCGGUAUASGAGGGGUAWGCGUUKUUGGAAUUACUGGGSGUAAAGCUGUACGURGGSGGAUUAAUAAGUAGAGGUGAAUCCCAGGSUCAACCUGGAACUGCCUUAAAACUDUUAGUCUGAGAUCGAGAGAGGUGAGUGGAAUUCCAAGUGUAGAGGUGAAAUUCGUAGAUAUUKGGAGGAACACCAGUGGCGAAGGCGGCUCACUGRCUCGAUAUCUGACGRUGAGGUACGAAAGUGUGGKAGCAAACAGGAUUAGAUACCCUGGUAGUCCACACCGUAAACGAUGAAUGCCAGACGUCAGCAAGCAUGCUUGUUGGGUCACACCUAACGGAUUUAGAUUCCGCCUGGGGAGUACGGUCGCAAGAUUAAAACUCAAAGGAAUUGACGGGGGCCCGCACAAGCGGUGGAGCAUGUGGUUUAAUUCGACGCAACGCGCAGAACCUUACCAACCCUUGACAUACUUGUCGCGGAUUCCAGAGAUGGAUUCCUUCAGUUCGGCUGGACAAUGUACAGGUGCUGCAUGGCYGUCGUCAGCUCGUGUCGUGAGAUGUUCGGUUAAGUCCGKCAACGAGCGCAACCCACGUCMUUAGUUACCAGCAUUUAGUUGGGUACCCUAAGGAGACUGCCGGUGAUAAGCCGGAGGAAGGUGUGGACGACGUCAWGUCAUCAUGRCCYUUACGGGUUGGGCUACACACGUGCUACAAUGGCAUCUACAGUGAGUUAAUSUCCAAAAGAUGUCUCAGUUCGGAUUGGGGUCUGCAACUCGACCCCAUGAAGUUGGAAUCGCUAGUAAUCGCGGAACAGCAUGCCGCGGUGAAUACGUUCCCGGGCCUUGUACACACYGCCCGUCACACCAUGGGAAUUGGGUCUACCCGAAGGUGGUGCGCCAACUAU
This 1019-nucleotide ribosomal RNA is filed under the name uncultured Rhodobacterales bacterium. RNAcentral describes it as "partial 16S ribosomal RNA". Lineage: Bacteria; Pseudomonadati; Pseudomonadota; Alphaproteobacteria; Rhodobacterales. The record is from RNAcentral.